UUCAGUUUGAAUUUCCGCAGUUUAGUGGGUUCGGCAGUUCUGCCAGCAGGGAGCGCUGUCUCCAGUGAACCGUGAGUCAGGUGCAGCCUGCACGUCCCGCACCGACCACAGACGGGACUGAGCCCGCCUCUCUGACCCACGGCGCACGCGCGUUCCACCGGUCUCGCCUCAGCGCGCCGCUGACGGGAGUUCGUCUCAGGCGCCGCCAGAGCUUGUGCGGGGAUGGCCGGGUCAGCGUCUCUGCUGACAGGAGCUGAGUCUCCGUUAGACUCGCCGGGGCUUGGGCUUCAGGACAACACGGGGCUGUGUCCAUGCUGACAGGAGCUGGGUUUCCUGACGACCCAGGAGACGCCAGGAGGAAGAGUGGUUCUGCAGGCUCGCCAGUUAGCAUGGGCUCCAGGGAACUGAGAGGUUGAGGUCUGCAUUUCCCAGCUGGCCAGCAGGUGGCACCAAGCCCACCUCUGAUCCUUGAGGUACAUGUGUGUUCCACUGGUGGACUUGGCUCAUGAAGGAACUUGGCUACUUGUGCCGCUGAUAGAAGCUCAGUCUCUUCAGGAUCCACCAUGGUUUCAGCUUUGGGACAACACUUGGCUGAGUCCAUGCAGACAGAAACCCAGUGUCUUCAGGAACCACCAGGAGGCACCACCUUGGGAGUAAAAGGUUUCAGGAAAAUCGCUUUGCCUGGCUGGGGAAAGAAGAGGACCCCCCAAAUCGUCCGAAGUCCUUGGGUCCUUGUAGCUGGUUGUAUAGAGAACUGGACACAUGCCAAAUGGGCAUUUGGCCUCCCUGCUCGAUCACCUGUAACCAAGCAGGGACAAGCCCUCUUUGAACAGUCUCCUUGAAUGCUGGAGAGGCUCUCUGGGUAAUUUAUUUGGCUAGAGAACCCUUAUUUCCCCCUGCACCUUCACCCUAUCUCCAGGGACUGCUUGCUGAAAGCACCCACCUACAUCAGGUAUCUCCUACAGCCCCACAGUGGGAAUGUCUAAUUGCUGACUUAAGAGGGGAUCUGGGACUUUCCUGGUGGCGCAGUGGUUAAGAAUCUGCCUGCCAGUGCAGGGGACACGGAUUCGAGCCCUGGUCUGGGAAGAUCCCACAGGUUCACACGAAGGUGAACCUGGAGUCAGUGGAACGGUAGGCCAUUCUUAAGUCCCACAUGCCGUGGAGCAACUAAGCCUGUGCGCCACAACUACUGAGCCUGCGCUCUAGAGCCCGUGAGCCACAACUACUGAAGCCCGUGCACCUAGAGCCCGUGCUCCACAACAAGAGAAGCCACCUCAAUGAGAAGCUCGUGCACUGUAACGAAGCCCCCACUCGCCACAACUAGAGAAAGCCCGCGGGCAGCAACGAAGACCCAAUCAGCCAAAAAAAAAAAAAAGAGAGAGAGAGAGGGGACCUUAUAACUAAGGCCCUCUUAGACAGCAUCUCCCCUUCCAUCCCCCACAAAGAUUGGUCCACGUUUCAGUUAGACCACCUAGAUCACUUGGUGUGGGCUAGAUCUUGUGGGAUCUGCAUCGCCACCAACCCUAGGAGGAGGCCACUGGGAAGUUGGAAACAGACUAGAAAUAAGGACUCCCCAGUAGGGGUAACCAAGCCUCUAUCCCAGCGAAAUCGCCACUAGGGUGCAUCCUCCAUAACUAGAAAUUACCGCCCACUAACAAACAGCUUCUUUUCUUUUGCAACAUCACAUGGCCCCAGUAUAAACUGGUGGAUGGAGAAAGUUGUUGGCCAACUAAUGGCUUUCUAAAUUAUAAUCCCAUUUUUCAAUUGGACCUCUAUUGCCAGCAUUUGAAAAAUAUGGGACGAGAUCCCCUAUGUCCAAUUUUUCGUGGUGCUUUGUGAAAACAAGGGCCUCCGUGAGAAAUGCAAGGUUAUCUCUAAUCUCUCUCUCUCCUGGUACUAGAAUCUCAGCCUGAAGAUCCUCUUGACUUCCUCUCUCUGCCAAGGGUAGCUUCUCCCCCUUCUGACAGUUCACCCGAGACUCCUGAGUCAUCGAUCCCUACCUGACCUGGUUCCCUGACACCUUCUACUCCCUCUUAUUCACAACCACCCUACCUGGUUCCCUUGCCACCUCCCCGACUCUACCACCUCCAUCUCUUGGCGUGCCUCCCUUGGGGACUAGUCCAGUUCACACCCGUAGCGGCAUUCAGUACCAGCCCUCUGGAAGCAAUAGGCUCUUCCCCCUUUCGGAGGACCCUAAUGGAGAGGGCAGACUGACCACUGUGUAUGUACCCUUAUCUUCCUCAGAUCUAUGUAACUGGAAGGAUCGAUCCAAGGGUUUGAAAGAAUAUACCAAGGGGGUCCUUAAUUUAGUCUGGGGAAUAUUCCACACUCCUUUCCCCACUUGGGUGGAUGUCCAAACCCUCCUGAACAUCGUAUUCUCUGUAGAAGAAAAGACACUGAUUAUAACUAAUGCACCUGAGGAAGCUGAUAAGACCAAGCAAAAUAAUGCAGGACAAGCUCUAUACCAGCCUUGAAUCCAGGCCAUUCCCUACAUGGACCCUGCGUGGGACCAUUAAGAGGGAAAUGGUCAGCAGCACCUCACACAUUUCAGGGAUUUGAUUCUGAAGGGCAUUCAGUGGGCUGGGAAGAAACCCAUAAAUUGGAGUAGGGUUCAGGGAGUCAUCCAGGGACUGAAGGAAAACCCCUGGCUUUCCUGGAAUGCCUAAGGGCGUGCCUUUGUGGGUACACGAAGGUGAACCUAGAGUCAGUGGAACGGUAGGCCAUUCUUAAGUCCCAUUUCACUUCCCAGAGCACCCCAGACAUUAGGAGAAAAUUACCGAAGUUGGAGAUAGGGCGCACUACGCCUUCUUCCUGGGGUGGAGUCAGCAUUUCGGGUGUUCAACAACCAGGAUCUGGAGGCAGAUGCCAAGGUAGAUAGACCAGUGGAACCAACUGCCAGUAUUCUGGCUUCAGCAAUUCAGGGUCAGUCAACCUCCCAGUGAUGAUGGGGCCUCCCCCAAAGGGACCCUGUGACAUCGAGUCACCCCAGGUUUUGAAGACCACACCCACAGUGGAGAGAGGGGCUCAGAGCCAGUCCGUGUGCAUACUGCAGGGAGGAGGGCCACGGGGAGGGGGAUGCCCCAGACGUCUCAGAAGGAAGCUAAAGGGACCACUGUGUCCUGGCCCAUCCUUGCUGGUCGCACACAUGAAAGAAGAGGAGGACUGAAGGGGCCCAGGGGCUCCUUGGAGAAGCCCUGGCUGACCCUGACUGUGGGGGUAAAACACACUUUCUAGUCGACACAGGGGCCAUCUACUCAGUCUUGAACACCCGACAAGGCAGAAUGACCAAGGAUAAAUGUAAGAUAAUGGGAGUGGAAGGGAAGCCACAGGAACAUAAUUUUAUAGAGCCCCUUGAGUGCGAUUUGAAAGGGAGAAUGUUAUCUCACUCUUAUAUGCACCAGAAUGCCCAAUUCCCCUAAUAGGAAAAGACUUAUUAUACAAAUUGGGAGCUACAAUUUAUCUCUGAGACAAAAACCUUACCACUGAAAAGCCCAGAAUACCCAAGGUGGAUGAUUAACAGUCAUGGGCAGCUGUUCCUCUCAUCAGCCACUGCACUGCAGGCCAUCCUGGAAGCUCACCAGAGGACACAUUAUGGGCAGGAGGCCCUAUAUCAAUGGCUCAUCGGGGACUUCCCUGGUGGUCCACUGGCUAAGACUCUGUGCUCCCAGUGCAGGGGGCCUGGGUUUGAGCCCUGUCAGGGAACUAGAUCCCACAUGCUGCAACUAAGAGUUCGCAUGCCACAACUAAAGAUCCUGCACGUUGCAACGAAGAUCCCACGUGCCACAACUAAGACCCAGCACAGCCAAAUAAAUAUAUAUUUUUUUAAUGGCUCAUCAAAUCCAUGACUGCCCCCAAUUUCCAUAGUCUCCUUAAACAGGUGGUUGAAGCUUGCCCUAUCUGCCUCCAGAAUAAGCCCAACACAAACCACCAACCAAGGUCAAGGGAGUGACCCCCACCCAGCAUAGAGGCACAUAUCCAGUCAAGACUGGCAACCUGAUUUUACAGUAAUGCCCUGGACACAAGGCAAUUUUAGAUACUUGCUGGUUUUGACUGACACCUUCUCCGGCUGGAUGGAAGCAUUCCCCACCUGAGCCGAGAUUGCGAGACUGUCUGGGAGGUCUCUAAGGCCCUGUUCAAGGAAAUAAUCCCUCAGUUUGGGCUUCCUAAGUCCAUCCAGAAUGACAGUGGGCCUGCCUUUGUUUCCCAAAUUACUAAGGGAGUCGCUAGAGCUCUAGGAAUUAAAUGGGGUUUACAUUCCACUUGGAGAUGACAAUCCUCAAGAAAAGCAGAAUAAAUCAAACCCUCAAAAGAAACUUAGCCAAACCAUGUCAAGACAGUCAUCAACCCUGGAUCUCCCUUCUCCCCAUAGCACUUUUGAGACUGCGAAUAGCCCCUAAAGGAAAGCUCAGGUUAAGUCCAUAUGAGCCCAUGUACAGGAGGCCCAUUCCUGAAGGACCCGGCUCCAAGACCAAUCUUAGGGAUAUGGACCGGCAGAAAUACACCUUACAGACAGGGGAAAUAAUCAAAGCUUUACAUGCCUACGGGAAUCCGGAACUGCCUUCCCCUUCGGACAGGGUUUUACAUCCUUUCUCCCCUGAAAAUGGGUUUAUUUGAAAACCUGGAAGGCUGGAAAUCCACAAGACCAGUUAGACCCCAAGUGGACAGGACCUUAUCUAGUAAUCUGGACUACUUAUUCUGCUUUACAAUUACAGGGCAUAACUCCAUGGGCCCACCAUACCAGAGUGAAAACAGCACCUACACCUAAGGAAGAAGUUACUGAGCCAUCCACUCAAAGCACCUGUGAACCUGUCACAGACCUUAAGUUACUUUUCAAAAGGACUAACUUACCAAUAGAUAAGUAAUGUGGUGGCAGGCUUAGUAGUUGGCCUUGUCAUUGCUAUUGCCUUACUUGGCUUCUGCUGUUCUGCCAAACUCCCUCCCUCUGGCAGACAUCUCUGUCCAUGCUGGAUAUCAGGGAUAUUAACGUUGGAAGCAGGAUGAGUAGCCAUCAUUGUCUGUUCUCUCAUCUUCUCUGCUCUCUUACAACUGUCCACAUGGAAUGGGAACUCAGUGCACUAGUAAAUUUCUCACGGAGUAUAGCCCAUGGACAAAGUCUAUCCCAGUGCUGGUCUGUCACCCCCAUCCACAAAGUGAUGCCUAUGGAUUAAAGGUAUUACAUGUUACCCCUAAGAAUGACAGCCUCACUCUCACCUUGGCUAACGAGUCUGCUAAACCUUCCCCACUUGAAGUUCAUAUCCCAUCCCUAAUGCAGCUUACCUGCUUGGACCUCACCCCUUGCAUUAACAUCUCUAACAAAUACAAAGCCCUCGCUCUAAAGUGCCAUCACUCUAACCAGUCUCUGUCUCGCUGCCACUGCCCCUGUCAGCAGCCCUUACCAAAGGGAGGGACUUGCAAUAACACCGGUGGCUGCUCUGGACUCUGAUCACUGCUUCUUCUACUACCCCACAAUUUAAGUGCCCCAGGACUGACUCCUAUGGAAAUCUCACCCAUUGGUGCCCUCUGCACUAACUCAAUGAAUACACACAGGGACCAGAUGGGAGAUGUACUUACUGGGGAGGGAAGACACCGGUUGUCUGGGGUUUAGUAAGUGGCCCUCCUGAGGUCUGGGGAAAAGCCACUAGUCCAGAAUCCCCCAGUAACCCCUGCUAUGCAGAUGGGCUUCUCUCCCCACACUGCAAGGGCACCCCCUCUUGGCCUAGCCACUUACAGAGGUGGUUCAAUUCCUCAGAGGUGCACCAGGCAUGCACGCCCCUUGGGUACCUGUUUCUUUGUGGCCCAAGAGUAAACCAACUGCCACAUCAGAACAACCCCAAUGCCUUCCCUUUUCCAGGGUGGGCUCUAGCCUACCGUUGCUUAGAUAAUGCCCAAUUUGUGCACAAUGCAUGCUAGGCCAGCUAAGUUCGAGGAACCUAGUAUAACCAUUCAUAAUAUCACCCAGCCCCAAGAUACAAGGGCAAGAGAACUCACUCUGGCAGGAGUAGGGACUGCUCUGGACUGGCGGCCUCCUGAGGAGGUUUCGCAUACCAUGAAAUCACGCUACAGAAUCUCACGCGGGCCCUUGAGGACUUGUCUAAAAAUACAGGGGACGCCUUACAAGGACUCUGUACUUCUCUGGACUCACUAGCAAAUGUUGUUCUCGACAACAGGCAAGCCCUUGACGACCUCCUGGCUGAGCAAGGGGGAGUCUGUGCAGUUAUGAAUGAAACCUGCUGCAAGUAUGUCAGUAACUGGUCAGAUUGAGGUCAACAUAAAGGAGAUAUAUGAGCAAGCUCAAUGGUAACAUAGAUAAACACACAAAGUCCAGAUCCAAGCUCCAUCUGGAAUAUGGUCAAACAGAGCCUCCCCAGCUUAACCUGGUUUCCUCCAUUUCCUGGCCCACUACGCUAUCAUCCUCUGCUCAUCUUCGGGCCUUGCCUCCUCAACUGCCUUGUCAACUUCGUUAGCAUAUGGCUUGAAGCCAUCAAACUUCAGAUGAUACAUACACAAGGGUACAAGCAACUGGGACUACAGCCUGGUGACCAUCAGACAUAUUUUAGGCAACACAGGGAACAGUUCUGCUCCUCUAAUCCAGGGGAAAACUCUGCCCAUGUUCAGCAGGAAGCAGCUUCCGAAGGCAGAGCAUUGCCCUUCGGCGCCCCUCAAGAAUGAGAAGCAGGAACAGAAAAGGGGGGGGUUUUGUUGCCAGAGCUGUGCCAGUUCUUUGCUCAAAACCCACCAACCCCCGCUUGAACAGGAAUUAACGUGUAUCUUUAAGUCACAGGGUCUGGAGACAAAAGAAGGAAGCUAUAGGAAGAGAGAAACACCAGAUAGAACCAGCUGGAACAAAGGUGGCAACGAAUCUGACCUCCAACAGACCCUCAGUCACAUUCUGCUGAGUUGACUACAUUGGCUACUAGAUGACACACGUACUGGUGGCCCUGACUGGAAGAUGCGGACCAAGAAAGGAUAAAAAGGGUGCGGCUCCCCUUUGCAGGAAAGUCCUGCCCCUUCCCUAGACGAAUGCAUGUGCCUCCCCAUCAUUAGCCUCACUCCUCCUGCCUUUGUCUUUACUCUUUAAAAUCGAAUCCCUCUUACCACAUGGGUAAGAUGAUCUGUGAACUAAGUUCCCAAUUCUCCAUUCCUUGGCCAAAGAAUAAAACUUGGCCUGCAUCAAUCUGAGCUUCAGUUUCGUUUUUGUGGCUGCACAAACCCGAACUAGCAUCUAUUCUAUAGUUUCUAUUAAUUCUUUUAAUUCUUGUCCUUAUACCAAUAACAAGCAUUAUUGAAAAUAACCUCCUAAAAAGAAGACUCUUUGGGGAGUUCCCCAGUGGCCUAGUGGUUAGGAGUCCCAGCUUUCACUGCCGUGGCCCCGGGUUCAAUCCCUGGUCAGGGAGCUGAGAUCCCGCAAGCCACAUGGUGCAGCCAAAAGAAUAAAAAGAAAAAAAAGACUCUCUGCAGUCUAUUUAUUACCCUGGUUUUGUAAAUCAGAGAAGGAGAGGGAAUUCCCUGGCAGUCCAGUGGUUAGGACUCAGUGCUUUCACUGAUGGGGCCCAGGUUCAAUCCCUGGUUGGGGAACUAAGAUCCUGCAAGUCGUGCAGUGUGGGUAAGAAGGAAAGAAAGAAAGGAAGGAAGAAAGAAAGUUUUUAAAAAUAAAAUACAAUAAGGAAGGAAGGAAUUGAAUCCUUGUCAGCUGGUGUCAAGCCAAUACCACAACCAUUAUGUCUUUCUCAAUAAGUGAGAUACCAGUAAAAAGAAUUACAUAACGUCGUAAAAGUUAAGUCAUAGGCCAAAAUCCUGUAUAACACUAUGGCAUAUCCAUUUCAUCUAGGCUCUCAGGAUGCAACAUCACCUAUUAUGGAAGAACUUUUACAUCUUCAUGAUCACAUGUUAAUAAUCAGUUUCUGGAUAAGUUCUCUAGUCCUCUAUAUUAUUUUACUAAUAUUGACAACUAAACUGACUCAUACACGUAUGCUAGAUGCACAAGUAGAGCUAACCAUUUACCAGCCACCAUUCUAAUCUUAACUGCCUUAUCGUCAUUUCCUUUACGUGAUACAUGAAAUCAAUAACUCUCCCCUAACAUAAAAUCUACAAGUCAUGAAUGAUACUGAAGCUACAAAUACACAGAUUAUGAAGAUUUAAAUUUAGACUCCUCAGGACUUCCCUGGUGGCGCAGUGGUUAAGAAUCCGCCUGCCAAUGCAGGGGACACGGGUUCAUGCCCUGGUCUGGGAAGAUCCCACAUGCCGCGGAGCAACUAGGCCCGUGAGCCAUGGCCGCUGAGCCUGCGCGUCUGGAGCCUGUGCUCCGCAACAAGAGAGGCCGCGACAGUGAGAGGCCCGUGCACCGCGAUGAAGAGUGGCCCCCGCUCGCUGCAACUAGAGAAAGCCCUUGCACAGAAACGAAGACCCAACACAGCUAAAAAUAAAAAUAAAUAAAUAAAAAAUUUUUUUUAAAAAGAGAAUUUCCAUUUGAAAUCCUAUAACUUAAAAAAAUGGUUAAGAUGGUAAAUUUUAUGUUAUGUGCAUUUGACCACAAUUUUUAAAACUUAAAAACAGUAAAUAAUCCAUGAAUGCAACAAGAUGCACACUUUACUAAUAACCCAGGGAAUUAAAACUAAGAAAAAAUUAUGCGUAGACCUACCAGACUGGCAGACAUUAAAAACACGGUAUCAAAUAUCAGCAGGAUGUGGAGCAGUGGAAAGCCUGGUACAUGGGUGGGCAUGCAACCACUUCUGGAACAAUCGGGCCUCAGCAAAGUCUCUACACACACACCCACACUGCUGCUCCCAGUUAAACACAAACCCAUGAGCACUGCACCAGGACACACAGUCAUGGACUCUGCAGCCACAGAAGCCAAACCCAAAACCAACCUGAAGGACAUCACAAGCAGAUGUAGAAAUGAACUAUGCACACUCAUACGAAGCAUGCUCAUGUUCACCAGUUUUCCAGCUGCCUUCCUGUAACUCACUCCCCUCAAAAGAAACCCAAAACCCUUUGCUUUGUAUGGCCCCAAAUGAGUGACAAGCUGGAGUCCUAUUCACUCUUGGGGUGACCAUCAGUGGGUGCCCCCCUGCAUAUGUGCGACAUCACGAAUGCGUCUGUGAACUGACACGAUCCUAAUGAACUUGUGUGUGCCUUUCUCUUGUUGAUCUGUCCUUGGCCCGUCUUGUGUUUGGGGCCCCCUCCAGAGAACCCAAGAUGGGCAGAGAAAAAGAUGUUCUCUCCUCCUCUGCAGCGAGACCCUCCCUCGAUAUGUGGUCACCCCAGAAACCUGGUCAGCCCAGGUACCUGGUCACCCUGGAUAUCUGAUUGGUUCCUCAUCCUCCACCACCCCCCGCCAGGUGAUGUCUGAUUGCAAGGAUCCCGGUAGAUCAGUUUAGCCAGAAUCCCCGCUGACCCCCAAUGUAUACUCUUAGCAAGAGUCCAUCUCUGCCCCUUCAUUUUGCUCGUUGGCUGUAAACCCCUUGCCCACGCUGAAUUCAGAAUGGAGCCUGGUUCUAUACAGAGGCUUCU
Long non-coding RNA from Physeter macrocephalus (sperm whale), 9510 nucleotides. RefSeq lists it as uncharacterized. NCBI's taxonomy places the organism in Eukaryota, Metazoa, Chordata, Mammalia, Artiodactyla, Physeteridae. The transcript is spliced from 3 exons. The record is from RefSeq and is a predicted model, not a curated record.